Molecule: transfer RNA, 67 nt
Filed under: Bactrocera umbrosa
Lineage: Eukaryota; Metazoa; Arthropoda; Insecta; Diptera; Tephritidae
Description: tRNA-Ser
Source: RNAcentral
AGUCAAUGAGCUUGAACAAGCAUGUGUUUUGAAAACAUAAGAUAGAAAUCAAACUUUCUAUUGACUU